GAAUUUGUUGCUUUUCAGAGAGGGGCAGUCGGUCUCUACAUGCGUGAGGUGGCGAGGGGCGUGUCCAGGGGGCGGCUAGUAGCGUGUGCCACCAUGGAAAUAUGUACAGACAUAAAGAAGACGCCCUCAAGAAAGGCCUGAGUCCAGACCGAGACCCAGAGAAAUGUAAACAAACGCACCAGUCAGACUUGAUAUAGGAGUGAAUUUGUUGCUUUUUAAAGCGGCAGUCGGUCUGUACAUGUGUGAGGUGGCGAGGGGUGUCGCCAGGGGGCGGCUAGUAGCGUCUGCCACCAGGGAAAUAUGUAAAAACAUAAAAAAGACGCUUCUCAAGAAAGAGAGGGGCAGUCGGUCUGUACAUGCGUGAGGUGGCGAGGGGCGUGUCCAGGGGGCGGCUAGUAGCGUGUGCCACCAUGGAAAUAUGUACAGACAUAAAGAAGACGCCCUCAAGAAAGGCCUGAGUCCAGACCGAGACCCAGAGAAAUGUAAACAAACGCACCAGUCAGACUUGAUAUAGGAGUGAAUUUGUUGCUUUUUAAAGCAGCAGUCGGUCUGUACAUGUGUGAGGUGGCGAGGGGUGUCGCCAGGGG
Molecule: long non-coding RNA, 587 nt
Organism: Scylla paramamosain (green mud crab)
Lineage: Eukaryota; Metazoa; Arthropoda; Malacostraca; Decapoda; Portunidae
Exons: 4
Source: RefSeq, a predicted model, not a curated record